RNAcentral lists this transfer RNA (96 nucleotides) under Syntrophomonadaceae bacterium. RNAcentral describes it as "tRNA-Ser". It matches the Rfam family "tRNA". From Rfam's summary of the family: Transfer RNA (tRNA) molecules are approximately 80 nucleotides in length. Their secondary structure includes four short double-helical elements and three loops (D, anti-codon, and T loops). Lineage: Bacteria; Bacillati; Bacillota; Clostridia; Eubacteriales; Syntrophomonadaceae. The record is from RNAcentral.
GGAGAGGUGGCUGAGUCUGGCUUAAGGCGCUCGAUUGGAAAUCGAGUAGAGGGUUUAAAAGCUCUCUCGCGGGUUCGAAUCCCGCCCUCUCCGCCA